RNAcentral lists this ribosomal RNA (766 nucleotides) under Cladosporium tenuissimum. RNAcentral describes it as "partial large subunit ribosomal RNA". It matches the Rfam family "Eukaryotic large subunit ribosomal RNA", at positions 47 to 838 of the family's 3401-position model. Lineage: Eukaryota; Fungi; Ascomycota; Dothideomycetes; Cladosporiales; Cladosporiaceae. The record is from RNAcentral.
UAAGCGGAGGAAAGGAAACCAACAGGGAAUUGCUCUAGUAACGGCGAGUGAAGCAGCAAUAGCUCAAAUUUGAAAUCUGGCGUCUUCGACGUCCGAGUUGUAAUUUGUAGAGGAUGCUUCUGAGUAACCACCGACCUAAGUUCCUUGGAACAGGACGUCAUAGAGGGUGAGAAUCCCGUAUGCGGUCGGAAAGGUGCUCUAUACGUAGCUCCUUCGACGAGUCGAGUUGUUUGGGAAUGCAGCUCUAAAUGGGAGGUAAAUUUCUUCUAAAGCUAAAUAUUGGCCAGAGACCGAUAGCGCACAAGUAGAGUGAUCGAAAGAUGAAAAGCACUUUGGAAAGAGAGUUAAAAAGCACGUGAAAUUGUUAAAAGGGAAGGGAUUGCAACCAGACUUGCUCGCGGUGUUCCGCCGGUCUUCUGACCGGUCUACUCGCCGCGUUGCAGGCCAGCAUCGUCUGGUGCCGCUGGAUAAGACUUGAGGAAUGUAGCUCCCUCGGGAGUGUUAUAGCCUCUUGUGAUGCAGCGAGCGCCGGGCGAGGUCCGCGCUUCGGCUAGGAUGCUGGCGUAAUGGUCGUAAUCCGCCCGUCUUGAAACACGGACCAAGGAGUCUAACAUCUAUGCGAGUGUUCGGGUGUCAAACCCCUACGCGUAAUGAAAGUGAACGGAGGUGAGAACCGCAAGGUGCAUCAUCGACCGAUCCUGAUGUCUUCGGAUGGAUUUGAGUAAGAGCAUAGCUGUUGGGACCCGAAAGAUGGUGAACUAUGCGA